UACGUAGGGUGCGAGCGUUAAUCGGAAUUACUGGGCGUAAAGCGUGCGCAGGCGGUGAGCUGUGUCCGAUGUGAAAGCCCCGGGCUUAACCUGGGAAUGGCAUUGGAAACUGGCUCGCUGGAGUGUGGCAGAGGGGGGUGGAAUUCCGCGUGUAGCAGUGAAAUGCGUAGAUAUGUGGAGGAAUACCGAUGGCGAAGGCAGCCCCCUGGGAUAACACUGACGCUCAUGCACGAAAGCGUGGGGAGCGAACAGG
RNAcentral lists this ribosomal RNA (253 nucleotides) under uncultured bacterium. RNAcentral's name for it is "partial 16S ribosomal RNA". It matches the Rfam family "Bacterial small subunit ribosomal RNA", at positions 524 to 776 of the family's 1533-position model. The record is from RNAcentral.